This 271-nucleotide ribosomal RNA is filed under the name uncultured prokaryote. Its description in RNAcentral is "partial 16S ribosomal RNA". It matches the Rfam family "Bacterial small subunit ribosomal RNA", at positions 524 to 794 of the family's 1533-position model. The record is from RNAcentral.
GACGUAGGAGGCAAGCGUUAUCCGGAUUUAUUGGGCGUAAAGGGCAAGUAGGCGGUUCUCAAAGUUGGGCGUGACAUCUCCCGGCUCAACCGGGAGGGUGCGUUCAAAACUAGAGGACUAGAGGGCAGGAGAGGGAAGUGGAAUUCCCAGUGUAGCGGUGGAAUGCUCAGAGAUCAGGAGGAACACCGAUGGCGAAGGCAGGUCUCUGGGCCACUACUGACGCUGAGAAGCGAAAGCAUGGGGAGCGAACAGGAUUAGAUACCCGCGUAGU